This 72-nucleotide transfer RNA is filed under the name Camelus bactrianus (Bactrian camel). It matches the Rfam family "tRNA". From Rfam's summary of the family: Transfer RNA (tRNA) molecules are approximately 80 nucleotides in length. Their secondary structure includes four short double-helical elements and three loops (D, anti-codon, and T loops). The record is from Rfam by way of RNAcentral. RNAcentral also lists the same sequence under 3 other names. Lineage: Eukaryota; Metazoa; Chordata; Mammalia; Artiodactyla; Camelidae.
GAGGGUAUAACUCCGUGGUAGAGUGCAUGCUUAGCAUGCACAAGGUCCUGGGUUCAAUCCCCAGUCCCUCCA